UAAAAACAAGAAUAAAAGCAAUCUUUUCAUCUGCAUAAUGAUUGCCUUGUUUGAUUUCUAAAAAGCUUUUCAUAUCCAAAAUCAUUAUGGAGGUUGAUUUCUAAACCCAUUGAACAUAAUGAUCCAACGCCAUCUCCCAAUUUUGAGUUCCCUGUAUUUGAGGCAGAGGAAGAUGAUGUUGAAGAGAUUCCUGACGAGAUUACCCGUCUACUUGAGCAUGAAAAGAAGAUCAUUCAGCCGCAUCUUGAGAACCUGGAAACAAUCAAAUUGGGGUUUUACAGAUGUAAUAUCAAAAAGGGGGUGAAAAAAAAAUCAAAAUAAUCAAAAAUCAAAAAAAAAAAAUGUAGAGAAAAA
This 354-nucleotide long non-coding RNA is filed under the name Lathyrus oleraceus (garden pea). RNAcentral describes it as "Pisum sativum (pea) long non-coding RNA (PSAT_LNC024972)". The record is from RNAcentral. Lineage: Eukaryota; Viridiplantae; Streptophyta; Magnoliopsida; Fabales; Fabaceae.